RNAcentral lists this ribosomal RNA (646 nucleotides) under Dudleya virens subsp. hassei. Its description in RNAcentral is "eukaryotic LSU rRNA". The stretch from base 229 to 384 matches the Rfam family "5.8S ribosomal RNA". The record is from RNAcentral. Lineage: Eukaryota; Viridiplantae; Streptophyta; Magnoliopsida; Saxifragales; Crassulaceae.
CGGAAGGAUCAUUGUCGAAGCCUAGAAAGCGCGACCGCGAACGAGUUUCAACACGGGGGAUGCGUCGGGAAGCUCGAGGGCGACCCGUCGUUCCCUCGCUCGGAAGGCCAGCCUUCCGAAACUAACGAACCCCGGCGCGGCAAGCGCCAAGGAAUCACAACGAAAUAACUCGUCCCCCCGGCCCGUUCUCGGAUCGGGGGGCGCGAGUCUGUUCAAACGAAUCACAACGACUCUCGGCAACGGAUAUCUCGGCUCUCGCAUCGAUGAAGAACGUAGCAAAAUGCGAUACUUGGUGUGAAUUGCAGAAUCCCGCGAAUCAUCGAGUCUUUGAACGCAAGUUGCGCCCGAAGCCUUUAGGCCGAGGGCACGUCUGCCUGGGCGUCAUGCACUGCGAUGCCCCCCCCCCAACGCAAGCGCGGGGAGCGAAGCGUGGCCUCCCGUGAGCCCAACCUCGCGGAUGGCUUAAAAGCGAGCCUCGAGACGGCGAGACGUCGCGACAAGUGGUGGUUUACAAGGCCUUCGGCCUUUGGGCAUUUGCGCGUCGCGACCCCGCCCCUCUAUCGCUUCCGAGUACAACCCCCACGGAGCGCAAAGGCGCUGCCAGCAUCNUGACCCCAGGUCAGGNGGNACUACCCGCUGANUUNAA